This 467-nucleotide ribosomal RNA is filed under the name uncultured Geobacillus sp. RNAcentral describes it as "bacterial SSU rRNA". It matches the Rfam family "Bacterial small subunit ribosomal RNA", at positions 912 to 1382 of the family's 1533-position model. The record is from RNAcentral. Lineage: Bacteria; Bacillati; Bacillota; Bacilli; Caryophanales; Anoxybacillaceae.
AGACGGGGGCCCGCACAAGCAGUGGAGUAUGUGGUUAAUUCGAAGCAACGCGAAGAACCUUACCAGGGCUUGACAUCCCUUGAAGCAGCUAGAGAUAGCUGUGUCCUUCGGGACAAGGAGACAGGUGGUGCAUGGUUGUCGUCAGCUCGUGUCGUGAGAUGUUGGGUUAAGUCCCGCAACGAGCGCAACCCUCGCCUCUAGUUGCCAGCAUUCGGUUGGGCACUCUAGAGGGACUGCCGGCGACAAGUCGGAGGAAGGUGGGGAUGACGUCAAAUCAUCAUGCCCCUUAUGACCUGGGCUACACACGUGCUACAAUGGGCGGUACAAAGGGCUGCGAACCCGCGAGGGGGAGCGAAUCCCAAAAAGCCGCUCUCAGUUCGGAUUGCAGGCUGCAACUCGCCUGCAUGAAGCCGGAAUCGCUAGUAAUCGCGGAUCAGCAUGCCGCGGUGAAUACGUUCCCGGGCCUU